This 396-nucleotide unclassified non-coding RNA is filed under the name Hevea brasiliensis (rubber tree). Lineage: Eukaryota; Viridiplantae; Streptophyta; Magnoliopsida; Malpighiales; Euphorbiaceae. The record is from RNAcentral.
GUGUUGUUUCACACUUGUUUUUAGUUUUAUCUAUCAAGUGUUUUCUUGGGAAUUCUAGAACUAUUUGUCUAUUUAUUGAAUUUUUGGUUUGAUUUAACAACUUUGAUGUUGUGUUUUGGUGAGGAUAAGGAUGAAAGUUUCGAUCUUUAAAGGGGAAAGAUUGUUUUUAGUGGUUGUAAAAGUGAACAGGGUGUGAAGAGCUACAGUUCUGUAUGUGGGGGUUGUUAGAUCGUGUGAUUUUUUGGAAUUAACGGUUGAUAUUUCUGGGUUUUGGAACUGAAGAGAAUUUAAUUGGGUAAAACUGGGUUUCUUCUAUUUUAGGACUCAACGAGUACUGAUUCAGCAGAAAUGACUAUAGGGGAUCAAAGCGAGUCGGACUCGAUACUUCCUUGUAGG